Molecule: non-coding RNA, 3094 nt
Organism: Doryrhamphus excisus (bluestripe pipefish)
Lineage: Eukaryota; Metazoa; Chordata; Actinopteri; Syngnathiformes; Syngnathidae
Source: RefSeq, a predicted model, not a curated record
UACAAAAGAGCAGAAACCUGUAGCAGCAGCAGCAGCUGGGGAGCGGCUCACUGACUUAUUCAUACAGGCGCAGCCACGCACAGCCAAAUACGUCGUUUGUCUUUGUCUCUGGAUUUAUGCACAUUAUCUGGAUUUCCAAAGUGAAUUGUGUCUGCCUGUGACUCCUGUUCACGGCACUCCCACUUGUGCUUGCAGCAGCUCUGCAAAUAUAGGGUGUACACCGCGUAGGAGCGAGCUUUUUUUACUGCAGCGAAGCAGCAUGGAGGUAGAAUACCGUGUGAGAUUUAUUACAAUUCGGUGGUUGUGGAAGGCGUCCAACGUAGUGAUGAUUGCAGGCAUCAGAAGUGCUAGGCCCUACUGAAUUUAUCAACAAGGACCAUAGAUCUGACACCAAUUGCUGGGAGUAUCUGAAUGGGAACCAGGACGUGUACAGGUUAUGUUCACAAGACAACAUCCAGUUUUUAGUUGCUUGCAGUUAGACAACAGUGGGUUGUGCAAUAUAUUAGUCCAUCUUUGGUACAGCUUUUCUUGUAUGUUCUGCCUAGAGAGACAACAAGAGCUCAUUUUGGAUUCCAUCGUACUCCUGUGCUGGUGACAUCUCUUGAAUGUCCUCCUCUAUAGCUUCAUUGACGGAGGUGCCAUAUCUGUUGACCUGGACCCUCAGAGGAUGGAUCAACUUCUCAUGAGUUUGUGUUUCAGCGAAAUAUGUAUUUGAGUGACAAGACUUCUACCUUUGUUAAAUUUUUAACAGGAAGGGGGCAGCACAGGUGGAGUCAUAUGACAAUGUUCCGUGGUCCCUCGCAAUCAUAUACUGUGUAUUUGCACAGCUUUGAUGAAUCCAAAAGUAGUUUGACCAGUUGACCACUUUUUACCACAUGAAACUGACACUAAAACUGACCUCUCUCCCUGUGAAGAACACGAGUCAUUAAUUUACAAUCAUACAUGUGUCAUACAUAUGUCCUAUAUAGAUUAUACUGUAUAUUGUGUGUUUAUGUAUUAGUGCAGUGUGUUUUUGUGUGAGGAUAUGUAGUGUAUGCAUGAGCCACAAUUCUGCGUCUUUGCAUAUCCAUGUGCAUGUGCAUUCUGACAUACAACGUAUGAGCUCCUUUAAGCCGCCGAGUGCACCAGACGCUGGAGAAGAUAUUUACAAAUUAUUGUAUAGCAUUUGUUUUGGCUGAGCAACUACAGUAUGAACAACUGCUUAACAAUCACAAGAGUGGCUCAAAAAAAUGCUGGUAAUGCUUUACCAGUAUUAUCUGAUUCAUAAACAAAAUCCAGCAAAUGCUAAUAAUUGUGCAAAUAGAUUUGUACCCAGGUCUGGAUGAUACUAACAUUAUUUCCCUGUCAACACUAAUUUCUGCUAACAUUGAUGAUUACUAACCUCUGAAUGCUGAUGGCUGUCUAAUUCACUAACCCUCUGCUUUAUGGCUGCAAAUGCGUAUACUGUACUGUAUGUAUGCUCCUCUCUGGUGAUCCUGCAACCCCUCUUCUAAAAAUAAAAAAACAGCUAUUCAUUACAGAUGGACACCAAAGAUAAACACUAACAAAAGUUAUCAAGAAGGGUUUCAAGAUUUGAGGGGGAAAUGGAAUGAACCAGAAGCCGAAAAGUGGCGUAUCAAGCUGGUUUGACCACAUGAAUCCACAAGACUUUAUUGCAGUUGAAAACUAUAUCACAGCUCUGUCACACUGGAGGGCUCCAUUUACAGAAGCAGAUUUGUGUUGCUUUGUGUGCACAGUGUGGUCAAGCUGGUGAGCAGGUGAGUGCCCGGAUUGUUGUCACCAAGGGCAACAACUCUCCAUGGCUCUAAUACUAACAGUAGUGAGCCUGCCAAAUACUAACAUCUCUACCCAGCUAUGCAAAACGUAGUAUUCUUUGUCCUUGUUGAUCAUCUAAAGCAUGGCCUGUUUUAACAUGCACUUAUUGAAAUCCUAAUGGGGACUAAUCAUUGAUGUAAUGAGCAAACCGUUUAUUGGAAGCCACUAACAUUCCCAGAAUCUUUACCAAUACUAACCAAAAGGCUUUUAAUAACUAACAAACUAACAUACUAAUUAACUAACAAACUAACAUCACUAACUAAAUAUUGGUAUCGUUAGCAUCCAAAUUUAGAGGAGUUACAUCACAUGUCCCUGCGACCCUCGUGAGGAUAAGUGGUAGUGGUAUCACAUGUUGGGUGUGCUAACAAGGUUGAAUUGAAUGUGUGUGCGCAUACGAGGCCACUUCCAUGCUGAGUGUUCUACUUAAAUAUGCUGCUUAAAUAUGAUGCAUCAUCUCAUUUAUUCCAGUUGAGAAUCAAACAAGGUUUUGGCUUAAAGGGGAAGUGCACUUUUUGGGGAAUUUUGCCCAUUAUUCACAAUCCUGAUGUGAAACAUGAACGCAUAUUUCUUUCCAUUUUCUGUGCAUUAUAACACAAGAAAACUAGUUAAUGAAGAAAAAUGUGUUCAUGUUUCACAUAACGACUGUGAAUAAUGGGCAAAAUUUCCAAAAAAGUGCAGUUCCCCUUUAAAGGUGUAGCUGCUCUAUAGGAGUGCACAAUGCAAUACAUAGGGCUGAAAAUGAGCACAAUUGGGCCCCUUUAAGAUUUUGCCACAUGAUGUCACACUCAGUGAAUGCAGGAGAAAAUCAGAGUUCAUUCCAAUCGUGAUGCCACAAAAACUUACAAUCAGGAUGGCCCCAAUAAAAGUACUGUAUUUUACAUUUAAAAAUGUGAAAAAGAAUGAUGAACACAUUCUCUGACUUGUGUUUAUUGUGUGUUUUUGUACAGAGAGUAGGGGUGGUAUUCAUAUGGCUUCAUAUACAGUAUUCUUGUCCUUUGUAAUAAACACUUCUACCAUGUUUCCUUUGGCUGUUCCAUGUCUAUGUGCUUUCAUGCUAAUAUACAACAACAGACUGCACAAUUUGUAUUUUUAAAUGCUAAUUAUUCAAUUAUUUGUAAUUAUCAUUAUUGCCAUAUUGAAUUGAGAAACUGUGACAACCAGUCCAGGGUGUACCCUGCCUCUCGCCCAAAGACAGCUGGGAUAGGCUCCAGCACGGUCGCGACCCUCGUGAGGAUAAGCGACAGAAAAUGAAUGAAUGAAUAUGUGUAUAUAUAUAUUU